RNAcentral lists this microRNA precursor (86 nucleotides) under Solanum tuberosum (potato). RNAcentral describes it as "MIR8024 microRNA precursor family". It matches the Rfam family "MIR8024 microRNA precursor family". The record is from Rfam by way of RNAcentral. Lineage: Eukaryota; Viridiplantae; Streptophyta; Magnoliopsida; Solanales; Solanaceae.
UUGAAGAAUUUAAAGACCUCAACUUGCAUACUUGAAGAAUUUGAAGACGUCAACUUGCAGACUUGAAGAAUUUGAAGACUUCAACU